This 488-nucleotide ribosomal RNA is filed under the name uncultured bacterium. Its description in RNAcentral is "bacterial SSU rRNA". It matches the Rfam family "Bacterial small subunit ribosomal RNA", at positions 28 to 507 of the family's 1533-position model. The record is from RNAcentral.
GACGAACGCGUGGCGGCGUGGAUUAGGCAUGCAAGUCGAACGGUAUCAUCCUUUCGGGGGUGAGAGAGUGGCGAACUGGUGAGUAACACGUAGGUUAUCUACCCUCAAGACGGGGACAACCCGGGAAAACUUGGGCUAAUACCGGAUGUGAGCAACUUUUAGUUGUUUGAAAGGUGGCGUAAGCUGUCGCUUGGGGAUGAGCCUGCGUCCUAUUAGUUAGUUGGUGAGGUAACGGCUCACCUAGGCAAUGAUAGGUAGGCGGCCUUAACGGGUGGUCGCCCACACUGGGAUUGAGAUACGGCCCAGACUCCUACGGGAGGCAGCAGUCGAGAAUAGUCUACAAUGGUCGGAAGACUGAUAGUGCGACGCCGCGUGAACGAUGAAUCCCUUCGGGGUGUAAAGUUCUUUUAUAUGUGAGCAGUGCUUCUUAUAUUAACAGUAUGGGGAGAGAGAUAUUAGCAUAUGAAUAAGCAACGGCUAACUCCGUG